CGUGUAGGCGGGUCUUUAAGUCAGGGGUGAGAUGCCGAGGCUCAACCUUGGAACUGCCCUUGAUACUGGAGAUCUUGAGUCCGGGAGAGGUGAGUGGAACUGCGAGUGUAGAGGUGAAAUUCGUAGAUAUUCGCAAGAACACCAGUGGCGAAGGCGGCUCACUGGCCCGGAACUGACGCUGAGACGCGAAAGCGUGGGGAGCAAACAGGAUUAGAUACCCUGGUAGUCCACGCUGUAAACGAUGGAUGCUAGCCGUUGGGGAGCUUGCUCUUCAGUGGCGCCGCUAACGCAUUAAGCAUCCCGCCUGGGGAGUACGGUCGCAAGAUUAAA
This 330-nucleotide ribosomal RNA is filed under the name uncultured bacterium. RNAcentral describes it as "bacterial SSU rRNA". It matches the Rfam family "Bacterial small subunit ribosomal RNA", at positions 568 to 898 of the family's 1533-position model. The record is from RNAcentral.